AAUAUAAUUACUGGGUCAUAUGGUAACUAUAUAUUUAACAUUUUGAGGAAUUGCCAGAUAGUUUUCCAUUGUGGCUGGGCCAGUUUAUAUUCCCAGGGGGAAU
RNAcentral lists this microRNA precursor (103 nucleotides) under Marmota monax (woodchuck). The record is from RNAcentral. Lineage: Eukaryota; Metazoa; Chordata; Mammalia; Rodentia; Sciuridae.